Molecule: ribosomal RNA, 377 nt
Filed under: uncultured bacterium
Lineage: Bacteria
Description: bacterial SSU rRNA
Rfam family: Bacterial small subunit ribosomal RNA
Source: RNAcentral
UAAUACGGAGGGUGCGAGCGUUAAUCGGACUUACUGGGCGUAAAGGGCGCGUAGGCGGUGGGGCAAGUCAGUUGUGAAAGUCCUGGGCUUAACCUGGGGAUGGCAAUUGAGACUGUUCUGCUGGAGUCGAAGAGAGGGGGGUGGAAUUCCCGGUGUAGCGGUGAAAUGCGUAGAGAUCGGGAGGAACACCGGUGGCGAAGGCGGCCCCCUGGUUUCAGACUGACGCUGAGGCGCGAAGGCGUGGGGAGCAAACAGGAUUAGAUACCCUGGUAGUCCACGCGGUAAACGAUGUCGACUAGCCGUGCCUUUCGGUUGUGAGGGGUGUGGUGCAGCUAACGCGGUAAGUCGACCGCCUGGGGAGUACGGCCGCAAGGUUA